Macaca mulatta (Rhesus monkey) is the source of this 1298-nucleotide non-coding RNA. The record is from RefSeq and is a predicted model, not a curated record. NCBI's taxonomy places the organism in Eukaryota, Metazoa, Chordata, Mammalia, Primates, Cercopithecidae.
UAGUUUUUAUGGUAGGUUCUUACUGUGUGGAAACUGAUAAAUAUGCCAUCAUGGUAGUAACUCAUUAUGGCAGCAGGAGUGAUUUUUAUUAUGACCUAAGCUGAAUACUUUCCUCUAAUUUAAAAAAAUGCUUUCUAGUUUAUAUUUGACUCGUUACAACAUAUUUGAAAUUAAUUCAAGUCCUCGUGAAACUCUACCUAGUGCUAAUGAGAACAUGAUCAGUUACUCAUAUUUCGUUCAAAUAAAGACCCCACAGCCAAAAUUUUAAAUAUGGUGUCUGGGCUAGAUAUAUGUAGUUCAUUAAUCUAGUCUUUUAGUAAUAUAUCAUUAUUUUUAUUUUACUUUCAAAACUAUGCCAUCAUGUGUCACUUUCCUCUCUGAGAAAAAAUGAUGCGAGAAAUGCCUCUGAAUGUCAAUUCAGAAUAGCAGAUAAUUAUUCUCCAGUAGAAGUUUUAUAUUUCUCCUGAGUUCUGUAUUUCUAUGUCCCUUUAGUGUGACCAGCUGACUGUAAUUGCCACUUAGUGCUUGGCCGGAAAGCUGUUACGUCAAUCAAUCAAACAAAUAAAUGGGCAAGGAACCUGAAGCACAGUGCAGCUCAAGAUUUUAUAGCCAUUACGUGGCAAAGCCAAGUUCAGAAUCCUGACAGGCUGACUCCAGAGCUGAUGCUCUUACUGGUGAAGCUCCACAGCAAACCUGCUAUUCCCCUACUGUUCCACGUGCCACAUAUUCCCACUUGUGGCAAAUUGAGUCAUUUGAAAUAGCUUUUCAACUUAUAUUAAGAAACUCAAACCCAGUGCAAGAGGCCAUAGUGUAACCAAAUGCAAGUCACGCUGCUUGCUGCUUGGAAGCCAAAACACAACGCAUGAGAUGUGGUGAAAAGAAAUCCGCUUUAUUAAUCAAAUUCUAGCAGGUGAGAGAUGGCCAGGCUCAAUCCUCAAAUAAACCAUCUCCAGUUUUGAGCUGAAGGCAGAGAUUUAAAAAGGGGAAGCGUGGUAUAGGAAAUACCUAGGAGUGAGGCAGGGUGCAGGUCUGUAUGUCUUGCCCUGAUCACCAUUUUGAGUUUGUCCACCUGGAGUGCUGUCUGGUGCUAUGUCAAUUGCAGCCAGGCUGUAGAUUAUCCAUACUGAGGUAAAUUCUAGGUAAAGGAGAACUUAUAGCAGGGUUUCUACACCAGGUGUGUUUAAAAUUAACCCCUGGAAUUUCUUAACAAGCAUGCAGUUAGAUGAGUGUGCAUGGUGCAGAGAGGUGUUUGGUGGGAAAGGGAGAGAGUUUCAAAAUAUGUUUUAAGGCUAUAUUGU